GAGGAAUAUUGGUCAAUGGACGGAAGUCUGAACCAGCCAAGUAGCGUGCAGGAAGACGGCCCUAUGGGUUGUAAACUGCUUUUGUAUGGGGAUAAAGUCAAUCACGUGUGAUUGUUUGCAGGUACCAUACGAAUAAGGACCGGCUAAUUCCGUGCCAGCAGCCGCGGUAAUACGGAAGGCUCGGGCGUUAUCCGGAUUUAUUGGGUUUAAAGGGAGCGUAGGCCGGAGAUUAAGUGUGUUGUGAAAUGUAGACGCUCAACGUCUGACUUGCAGCGCAUACUGGUUUCCUUGAGUACGCACAACGUUGGCGGAAUUCGUCGUGUAGCGGUGAAAUGCUUAGAUAUGACGAAGAACUCCGAUUGCGAAGGCAGCUGACGGGAGCGCAACUGACGCUGAAGCUCGAAGGUGCGGGUAUCGAACAGGAUUAGAUACCCUGGUAGUCCGCACAGUAAACGAUGGAUGCCCGCUGUUGGUACCUAGUAUCAGCGGCUAAGCGAAAGCAUUAAGCAUCCCACCUGGGGAGUACGCCGGCAACGGUG
This 539-nucleotide ribosomal RNA is filed under the name uncultured bacterium. Its description in RNAcentral is "bacterial SSU rRNA". It matches the Rfam family "Bacterial small subunit ribosomal RNA", at positions 356 to 896 of the family's 1533-position model. The record is from RNAcentral.